This 215-nucleotide microRNA precursor is filed under the name Oryza nivara. RNAcentral's name for it is "MIR812 microRNA precursor family". It matches the Rfam family "MIR812 microRNA precursor family". Lineage: Eukaryota; Viridiplantae; Streptophyta; Magnoliopsida; Poales; Poaceae. The record is from Rfam by way of RNAcentral.
AAUAAGUAUUGUUUCACAUCAUUAAUGUUUAACAUUUAACCGUUUAUCUCAUUUAAAAAUUUUCUGUGAAUAAUAUUUUUAUUAUUGUUAGAUGAUAAAACAUUAGCAGUACUUAGUACUUUAUGUAUAACUAAUUAUUUUUAAUUUUUCUAUAAAUUUUUUAGAUAAGACGGAUAAUCAAACGUUAUACAUGGGUGCCCAUAGCUAUACUCAUU